Molecule: ribosomal RNA, 459 nt
Filed under: uncultured bacterium
Lineage: Bacteria
Description: partial 16S ribosomal RNA
Rfam family: Bacterial small subunit ribosomal RNA
Source: RNAcentral
CCUACGGGAGGCAGCAGUGAGGAAUAUUGGUCAAUGGGCGAGAGCCUGAACCAGCCAAGUCGCGUGAGGGAGUACUGCCCUAUGGGUUGUAAACCUCUUUUGUCGGGGAGCAAAAGCCGGACGUGUCCGGCUGUGAGAGUACCCGAAGAAAAAGCAUCGGCUAACUCCGUGCCAGCCGCCGCGGUAAUACGGAGGAUGCGAGCGUUAUCCGGGUUUAUUGGGUUUAAAGGGUGCGUAGGCGGUUUGAUAAGUUAGAGGUGAAAUACCGGUGCGCAACACCGGAACUGCAGCUAAUACUGUUGGACUAGAGAGUAGUUGCGGUAGGCGGAAUGUGUGGGGUAGCGGUGAAAUGCUUAGAGAUCAUACAGAACACCGAUUGCGAAGGCAGCUUACCAGACUAUAACUGACGUUGAGGCACGAAAGCGUGGGUAGCAAACAGGAUUAGAUACCCUUGUAGUC